AACGAACGCUGGCGGCAGGCUUAACACAUGCAAGUCGAGCGCCCCGCAAGGGGCGCGGCAGACGGGUGAGUAACGCGUGGGAACGUACCUUUUGGUUCGGAACAACUCCGGGAAACUGGAGCUAAUACCGGAUAAGCCCUAACGGGGAAAGAUUUAUCGCCGAAAGAUCGGCCCGCGUCUGAUUAGCUAGUUGGUGAGGUAACGGCUCACCAAGGCGACGAUCAGUAGCUGGUCUGAGAGGAUGAUCAGCCACACUGGGACUGAGACACGGCCCAGACUCCUACGGGAAGCAGCAGUGGGGAAUAUUGGACAAUGGGCGCAAGCCUGAUCCAGCCAUGCCGCGUGAGUGAUGAAGGCCUUAGGGUUGUAAAGCUCUUUUGUCCGGGAAGAUAAUGACUGUACCGGAAGAAUAAGCCCCGGCUAACUUCGUG
RNAcentral lists this ribosomal RNA (431 nucleotides) under uncultured bacterium. RNAcentral's name for it is "partial 16S ribosomal RNA". It matches the Rfam family "Bacterial small subunit ribosomal RNA", at positions 29 to 507 of the family's 1533-position model. The record is from RNAcentral.